CAUCCUUCAGUUGGGGACUCAUGCGAUACUGCCUGCGACGAGCAGGAGGAAGGUGGGGAUGACGUCAAGUCAUCAUGCCCCUUAUACGCUGGGCUACACACGUGCUACAAUGGGUAGUACAGAGAGCAGCAAACCCGCGAGGGGGAGCAAAUCUCAGAAAACUAUUCUUAGUUCGGAUUGUACUCUGCAACUCGAGUACAUGAAGUUGGAAUCGCUAGUAAUCGCAAAUCAGCAAUGUUGCGGUGAAUACGUUCUCGGGUCUUGUACACACCGCCCGUCACACCACGAGAGUUGGUUGCACCUGAAGUAGCAGGCCUAACCUUAGGGAAGGAUGCUCCGAGGGUGUGGUUAGCGAUUGGGGUGAAGUCGUAACAAGGUAUCCGUACGGGAACGUGCGGAUGGAUCACCUCCUUU
Molecule: ribosomal RNA, 414 nt
Filed under: Fusobacterium necrophorum
Lineage: Bacteria; Fusobacteriati; Fusobacteriota; Fusobacteriia; Fusobacteriales; Fusobacteriaceae
Description: bacterial SSU rRNA
Rfam family: Bacterial small subunit ribosomal RNA
Source: RNAcentral